ACGGAUAUAUGUUAAUGGUAAACUCACCGAUUUCCACCCGGCCAAUGUCAGUUCGAUUCUGACUAUCCGUAC
RNAcentral lists this transfer RNA (72 nucleotides) under Zarea fungicola. RNAcentral's name for it is "Lecanicillium fungicola transfer RNA-Gly". It matches the Rfam family "tRNA". Rfam says of the family: Transfer RNA (tRNA) molecules are approximately 80 nucleotides in length. Their secondary structure includes four short double-helical elements and three loops (D, anti-codon, and T loops). The record is from RNAcentral. Lineage: Eukaryota; Fungi; Ascomycota; Sordariomycetes; Hypocreales; Cordycipitaceae.